CCUGAUCACCUGUCUGGGCUGUUACGUGCAUGGGGAAAGUCUCGGCAGCUCUUGGACUGUGUUACUUCCCCAGGACUCUGGCCACCUGCCUGAGGGCAGACAUGAGUCCUAAAAUCUAUGCCUUUGAGGACAGAGAUAGAGGAACUGGCCGGUGAAGGUGUUGGUGCCACGGAGGCCUGGCGAAUCCCAUCGACGUCAAUAAACUACUUGGUGGAGCCGUGGUCCAGCGACACCGUGCAGGCCUCAGCCAGGUAGCAAAGGAUGUCGUAAAUGGACGUCAGCUGCCCUCUUGGCAGGAUCAGACCGCUGUCAACUCAAAUCACCCAGAAGGACGGGACGGAGUCCAGACUUAGCCAACACUUCCCUCUGGUGUGUGGGCUGGAGGCCCCAGUUGCCAGGACGACCACACACAGGCCCCUGAGUGUCCUCUUGUGGUACACAUGCCAUCACCCUGGACUUUCAAGGCACCAGGUCCCAGUAAGAGGAUGCACCUGCCCGGGAGGGCUGCACCAGAUACCGAGAAUUCCCCUGAGACUCCCCAC
This 542-nucleotide long non-coding RNA is filed under the name Homo sapiens (human). RNAcentral's name for it is "HSALNT0049665". Lineage: Eukaryota; Metazoa; Chordata; Mammalia; Primates; Hominidae. The record is from RNAcentral.